CCCUGAUAAGGGUGAGGUCGGUAGUUCGAGUCUACCCAGACCCACCAUUCUCUGAAUGACGCAUACAAUCGAUCUUUAUACGCAUCAGCACUGUGGCUGGUACGUGUUCUUUUAAAACUUGUGACGUAGCGAGCGUUUGAGAUGUUCUAUCAGACGUGUCGUGAGGCUAAGGCGAGAGACAUAAGUCUCUUUAUUGAUUGAGUCGUUAUAUUCGUAUCCGGGCUUUGUACCCCCGGGUCA
This 240-nucleotide unclassified non-coding RNA is filed under the name Xanthomonas sp. Xs148. Its description in RNAcentral is "partial 16S-23S ribosomal RNA intergenic spacer". The record is from RNAcentral. Lineage: Bacteria; Pseudomonadati; Pseudomonadota; Gammaproteobacteria; Lysobacterales; Lysobacteraceae.